Drosophila virilis is the source of this 1548-nucleotide long non-coding RNA. RefSeq lists it as uncharacterized. The record is from RefSeq and is a predicted model, not a curated record. NCBI's taxonomy places the organism in Eukaryota, Metazoa, Arthropoda, Insecta, Diptera, Drosophilidae.
CCGAAAAUUUUGCUUAAACGAUUCUGGCCCAGCUACCAGACCCAAUAAAAAUAAUCCUCAUUCUGCUUCUAGACUUGUCCAGUAAACGACUAUAGAUUUUCUGUGUUCUUGUUUCUUGUAACUGAAAACAGCGACUGCAUUGGAUUCCGAACUUAAUAGUUUUCUGUAAGCCAAUCUGCAGUCGUUAAUUCCCAUCUUAGUACCUAUUUCCGUGAAGAAGUUCAACUAAACUUGGUCUAAUAUUUAUAUUCUACUCUGCAGUUCCUGUCAAAAUGUGCUGCGGACCUUGCUACUCGUGCUGCGGACCCUGCGGAGGUUGCUGCGGACCUUGCGGGCCCUGCGGUGGCUGUUGUGGACCUUGCGGACCUUGUGGACCUUGUGGACCCUGCGGCGGCUGUUGUGGACCUUGCGGAGGAUGCUGCGGACCCUGCUGUGGUGGCUGUGGUCCCUGCUGUUAGAAACAUCUUCAGAACGAAACCUAGGUACUAACCAGCAUUCGGUACAAAAAGCAACAGCAAACCCUUUGUAAAUUUAUGUAACCAUAUACAGUAAUAGUAUAUAAAUAAAAUGGGAACAAAUUAAAAAUGUAUUUAUGCAUAAUUGUUAUUGUCUGCUGUUACUUUGACUUUGAAGCAUCUCUCUACAUUUUGUUAGCACUAUAAUAUGCUCUUGCAUAUGGUCUCGGCAGUAUUACUGUAGCCAGGAUCGUAUUGUCGGUUCAAAGUAAGCUAAAUAAUUGGACCGUAAAGAUUUAACAUAUAUGAGGAUCUUGGAACUAAUAAAUACCAACUAUAUGAUAGUUGUCCGAUCUGAUCGGUUCCGACAUAUUAACUGCCUGCAACAGAAAGACGGAGGAGGAGCUACUACUUAAAGAAUGAGGAAGACGAAGAGACGGACAGAAGAACAUGGCUAUACUCGACUGUUGAUUCUGAUCUAGAAAAUAUAUAUUUUGACUUGACAAAGUCGUUAGGCGAAGACUAAGUUGGCUCUGAAAACGAUUCUGGCCUAGCUAGCAAACCCAAUACAAAUAAACCUCACUUAGCUUCUAGCACUUGUCCAGUUGACUAGAUUUUUGUGUAACUAGAUUUUGUGUAAAUUUUUUGGGAAUGUUGAAGUUUUUCCUGUAACAGAACACAUCGACUGCUUUGGGUUCCAGGAACUUUAUAUCCAGACUUGUUUUCUGAAAGCCAAUCAGCGGUCGAUAUUUACCAUUCUAGUACCUAUUUCUGUGAAGAAUUUCAAAUAAACUCUCUGUCAAAAUGUGCUGCGGCCCUUGCUACUCGUGUUGCGGACCCUGCGGGGGUUGCUGUGGACCUUGCGGUGGUUGCUGCGGACCCUGCGGCGGUUGCUACGGAGGGUGCUAUGGCUGUUGUGGACCUUGCGGAGGGUGCUGCGGAGGCUGCUACGGUGGCUGUGGUCCCUGCUGUUAGACCCAUCUUCAGAACGAAAUCUAGGCACUAACUUUUUGUUACAAAAAGUAACGGCAGACCCUAUGUACAUAUUUGUUUCUCAAAUCAUAUAGUAAUAGAAAUAUAGAAAUAAAGUGAA